CCUACGGGUGGCUGCAGUGGGGAAUAUUGGACAAUGGGGGGAACCCUGAUCCAGCCAUGCCGCGUGUGUGAAGAAGGCCCUCGGGUUGUAAAGCACUUUCAGUGAGGAAGAACGCCUGGUGGUUAAUACCCAUCAGGAAAGACAUCACACACAGAAGAAGCACCGGCUAACUCCGUGCCAGCAGCCGCGGUAAUACGGAGGGUGCGAGCGUUAAUCGGAAUUACUGGGCGUAAAGCGCGCGUAGGUGGCUUGAUAAGCCGGUUGUGAAAGCCCCGGGCUCAACCUGGGAACGGCAUCCGGAACUGUCAAGCUAGAGUGCAGGAGAGGAAGGUAGAAUUCCCGGUGUAGCGGUGAAAUGCGUAGAGAUCGGGAGGAAUACCAGUGGCGAAGGCGGCCUUCUGGACUGACACUGACACUGAGGUGCGAAAGCGUGGGUAGCAAACAGGAUUAGAUACCCUUGUAGUC
RNAcentral lists this ribosomal RNA (465 nucleotides) under Vreelandella stevensii. RNAcentral describes it as "partial 16S ribosomal RNA". It matches the Rfam family "Bacterial small subunit ribosomal RNA", at positions 338 to 795 of the family's 1533-position model. Lineage: Bacteria; Pseudomonadati; Pseudomonadota; Gammaproteobacteria; Oceanospirillales; Halomonadaceae. The record is from RNAcentral.